This 252-nucleotide unclassified non-coding RNA is filed under the name Hevea brasiliensis (rubber tree). The record is from RNAcentral. Lineage: Eukaryota; Viridiplantae; Streptophyta; Magnoliopsida; Malpighiales; Euphorbiaceae.
GUACCCUUCUAAUGGUAUGCCCUCAUCUCUCUUUUUUUAAUAAUUUUGUUUUAUUUUUCUUUUUUCAACUCUUUCUUUUCUGCUUUGUGUAAUUGCGUCUGUAUUCUUAUUUUACUUUGUAAUUCUUUUUUGGGUUGAAUGAUUGUUUUGACACAAUGAUCGGUUUUCUUUCAAGGGUUUAAUGGGGAUGCAAUCAUAGCUGUUUCUUUGUUUCCCUGAAUAAUCGAGCAUACUUGCUUUUUUUUUUUUUUU